AAUCGAACCCGGAGAUAGCUGGUUCUCCUCGAAAUAGCUUUAGGGCUAGCCUCAUGGAUCAUUGGUGGGGGUAGAGCACUGAAUGUGCGCGGGGGCCACAAAGCCUACCAAACGCUAUCAAACUUCGAAUACCAUACAAUGCAGACCAUGGGAGUCAGUCCGCGAGAGAUAAGUUCCGCGGGCAAAAGGGGAACACCCCAGAUCAACCGCUAAGGUCCCCAAGUUCACGUUAAGUGGAGAAGGAUGUGGAAUUGCACAGACAACCAGGAUGUUGGCUCAGAAGCAGCCACACAUUUAAAGAGUGCGUAAUAGCUCACUGGUCGAGUGAUUGUGCGCCGAAGAUGUCCGGGGCUAAACGUGACACCGAAGCGAUGGGUGCAUCUGAAAGGAUGCGCGGUAGAGGAGCAAUGUGCAGAGGCAGAAGCCGUAUCGAGAGGCACGGUGGACACUGCACAAGAGAGAAUGCCGGUAUGAGUAGCGAGAGGCAUGCGAGAAACAUGCCCGUCGAAAGCCCAAGGUUUCCUGGGGAAGGUUCAUCCGCCCAGGGUAAGUCGGGGCCUAAGCCGAGGACGGAAGUCGUAGGCGAUGGACAGCAGGUGUAGAUUCCUGCACUACCGAUGGAAUGAAGCAGUGACACAGAAGGAUAACUCGAGCAGGGUGAUGGUCAACCCUGUGCAAGCAUCAAGGUUGGGUUGUAGUGAAGUACGCAAUCCUACAAGCUGAGGUGUGAUGCGGACCGAAAUUUCAGUAGGGAAGCGAGUGAGUUCACGCUGGCGAGAAAAGCUGCUAGUAUAUCCAAAGGUACCCGUACCGGAAACCGACGCAGGUGGGCGAGGAGAGAAUCCUGAGACGAACGGGAGAACCCUUGUUAAGGAACUCGGCAAAAUGACCCCGUAACUUCGGGAUAAGGGGUGCCUGCGAGAGCAGGCCGCAGAGAAUAGUCACAAGCGACUGUUUAGCAAAAACACAGGUAUCUGCGAAAGCGAGAGCUGACGUAUAGGUGCUGACACCUGCCCGGUGCUGGAAGGUUAAGGGAACAUGUUAGAGCAAUCGAAGCAUCGAACCGAAGCCCCAGUAAACGGCGGCCGUAACUAUAACGGUCCUAAGGUAGCGAAAUUCCUUGUCGGGUAAGUUCCGACCCGCACGAAUGGUGUAACGACUUGUGAGCUGUCUCAACAGGGGGCCCGGUGAAAUUGAAGUAUGGGUGAAGAUGCCCAUUACCCGCGACUGGACGGAGAGACCCCGUAGAGCUUUACUGCAGCCUGAUAUUGAGUUUCGGUAACUGAUGCACAGGAUAGGUGGGAGUCUGAGAGACACGGGUUUCGGCUCGUGAGGAGACGCUGUUGGGAUACCACUCUUCGGUUACUGAAAUUCUAACAUAGCUCUGUGAAACCAGAGGAUGGACAGUGUCAGGUGGACAGUUUGACUGGGGCGGUCGCCUCCGAAAGAGUAACGGAGGCGCCCAAAGGUACCCUCAGAAUGGAUGGAAACCAUUCGAAGAGCGCAAAGGCAGAAGGGUGCCUGACUGCGAGAUUGACAAAUCGAGCAGAGACGAAAGUCGGGCUUAGUGAUCCGGCGGUAUUGAGUGGAAAAGCCGUCGCUUAACGGAUAAAAGCUACCUCGGGGAUAACAGGCUGAUCUCCCCCAAGAGUCCACAUCGACGGGGAGGUUUGGCACCUCGAUGUCGGCUCGUCGCAUCCUGGGGCUGGAUUAGGUCCCAAGGGUUUGGCUGUUCGCCAAUUAAAGCGGCACGCGAGCUGGGUUCAGAACGUCGUGAGACAGUUCGGUCCCUAUCCAUCGUGGGCGUAGGAGUCAUGAGAGGAGCUGUUCCUAGUACGAGAGGACCGGAAUGGACGCACCACUGGUGCAACUGUUGUCGUGCCAACGGCAUAGCAGGGAAGCGAAGUGCGGAUGGGAUAAACGCUGAAGGCAUCUAAGCGUGAAGCCCACCUUAAGAAUAAGACUCCAAGCAGCAAUGCGAGAGACCCCUGGAAGACUACCAGGUGAUAGGUCAUCGGUGGAAGUGCAGUAAUGCAUGCAGCUUGAUGAUACUAAUCGGUCGAUAGCUUGAUUU
RNAcentral lists this ribosomal RNA (2074 nucleotides) under human gut metagenome. RNAcentral's name for it is "bacterial LSU rRNA". It matches the Rfam family "Bacterial large subunit ribosomal RNA", at positions 831 to 2925 of the family's 2925-position model. The record is from RNAcentral.